Molecule: ribosomal RNA, 253 nt
Filed under: uncultured bacterium
Lineage: Bacteria
Description: partial 16S ribosomal RNA
Rfam family: Bacterial small subunit ribosomal RNA
Source: RNAcentral
UACGUAGGGUGCAAGCGUUGUCCGGAAUUAUUGGGCGUAAAGAGCUCGUAGGCGGUCUGUCGCGUCGGCUGUGAAAACCUGGGGCUUAACUCCGGGCUUGCAGCCGAUACGGGCAGACUAGAGUUCGGCAGGGGAGACUGGAAUUCCUGGUGUAGCGGUGAAAUGCGCAGAUAUCAGGAGGAACACCGGUGGCGAAGGCGGGUCUCUGGGCCGAAACUGACGCUGAGGAGCGAAAGCGUGGGGAGCGAACAGG